This 468-nucleotide ribosomal RNA is filed under the name uncultured bacterium. Its description in RNAcentral is "partial 16S ribosomal RNA". It matches the Rfam family "Bacterial small subunit ribosomal RNA", at positions 28 to 507 of the family's 1533-position model. The record is from RNAcentral.
GACGAACGCUGGCGGCGUGCUUAACACAUGCAAGUCGAACGGAAAGGCCCUGCUUUUGUGGGGUGCUCGAGUGGCGAACGGGUGUGUAACACGUGAGUAACCUGCCCUUGACUUUGGGAUAACUUCAGGAAACUGGGGCUAAUACCGGAUAGGAGCUCCUGCUGCAUGGUGGGGGUUGGAAAGUUUCGGCGGUUGGGGAUGGACUCGCGGCUUAUCAGCUUGUUGGUGGGGUAGUGGCUUACCAAGGCUUUGACGGGUAGCCGGCCCGAGAGGGUGACCGGCGACCUGGCGACUGAGGUACGGCCCAGAGUCCUACGGGGGGCAGCGGGGGGGAGUCUUGCCCAAUGGGCGGGAGCGUGUUGCAGCAGCGCUGCGAGUGGGAAGAAGGUCAUGGGGUGGUAAAGCGCAUUAACCUAUGACGAAGCGUGAGUGACGGUAAUGGGUGAAGAAGCACCGGCUAACUACGUG